Molecule: ribosomal RNA, 253 nt
Filed under: uncultured bacterium
Lineage: Bacteria
Description: partial 16S ribosomal RNA
Rfam family: Bacterial small subunit ribosomal RNA
Source: RNAcentral
UACGAAGGGGGCUAGCGUUGCUCGGAAUUACUGGGCGUAAAGCGCACGUAGGCGGAUUGUUAAGUCGGGGGUGAAAUCCUGGAGCUCAACUCCAGAACUGCCUUCGAUACUGGCGAUCUCGAGUUCGGGAGAGGUGAGUGGAACUGCGAGUGUAGAGGUGAAAUUCGUAGAUAUUCGCAAGAACACCAGUGGCGAAGGCGGCUCACUGGCCCGAUACUGACGCUGAGGCACGAAAGCGUGGGUAUCAAACAGG